CCUACGGGAGGCAGCAGUGGGGAAUAUUGCACAAUGGGGGAAACCCUGAUCCAGCAACGCCGCGUGAGUGAGGAAGUAUUUCGGUAUGUAAAGCUCUAUCAGCAGGGACUAGAAAAGAAGGUACCUGAAAAAGAAGCACCGUCUAAAUACGUGCCAGCAGCCGCGGGAAUCCGUAGGGGGCAAGCGUUAUCCGGAUUUACUGGGUGUAAAGGGAGCGUAGACGGAAAGGCAAGUCAGAAGUGAAAGCCCAAGGCUGAACCAUGGGACGGCUUUUGAAACUGUCAAACUAGAGUACGGGAGAGGUAAGAGGAAUUCCUAGUGUAGCGGUGAAAUGCGUAGAUAUUAGGAGGAACACCAGUGGCGAAGGCGUCAUACUGGACCGCAACUGACGUUGAUGCUCGAAAGCGUGGGGAGCAAACAGGAUUAGAUACCCUAGUAGUC
RNAcentral lists this ribosomal RNA (441 nucleotides) under uncultured bacterium. RNAcentral's name for it is "partial 16S ribosomal RNA". It matches the Rfam family "Bacterial small subunit ribosomal RNA", at positions 338 to 795 of the family's 1533-position model. The record is from RNAcentral.